UACGUAGGGGGCGAGCGUUGUCCGGAAUUAUUGGGCGUAAAGCGCGCGCAGGCGGUCCUUUAAGUCUGAUGUGAAAGCCCACGGCUUAACCGUGGAGGGUCAUUGGAAACUGAGGGACUUGAGUACAGAAGAGGAGAGUGGAAUUCCACGUGUAGCGGUGAAAUGCGUAGAGAUGUGGAGGAACACCAGUGGCGAAGGCGACUCUCUGGUCUGUAACUGACGCUGAGGUGCGAAAGCGUGGGUAGCAAACAGGAUUAGAUACCCCUGUAGU
RNAcentral lists this ribosomal RNA (271 nucleotides) under uncultured prokaryote. Its description in RNAcentral is "partial 16S ribosomal RNA". It matches the Rfam family "Bacterial small subunit ribosomal RNA", at positions 524 to 794 of the family's 1533-position model. The record is from RNAcentral.